UGAUAAAAGAAUUGCAAUGAGGAAAAACAAGGUAGAGGAAGUGUUAACUCCAGUUAAGAAGAAAACAAAAGCUAAGGAUGAAGAUGAAAAGAUUAAAGAACUUGUGAGUGAGUGUUAUGCUUCAACUAAUUUGGUCAGCUUAGAGGGAAAAAAAUGAAGAUACCUCCAAUUCUCCUUUCAAUAGAGCAUGCCUGGUUGUUCAAGUUGAUGCAACUCGUGAAGGUGAGUAUAGAUUUUUCCCAAAUGUCUUUAAUUUUGAAAACUGAUGAUCAUAAUUUUCUAUUACAGUUUUUAUAUCAUAAUUUUGUUCUUAAUGUCUUUUAACUUAUUUUUCUGUUACGUCUCUUAUUUGUACAUCUCUUCCACUAAGAUGCACAAGCACAAGGCACUUGCUUUACAUUGAGACUUCAAGAUUUUUUGGACUUUUUUGCUAUUUUAGGGGUAGUUCUUACUUCCCCUGGCGAGUGAUUUAUCUUUUUAAAAUGCUUCUAUCUUGUUUGCAAAAUGCUACCAAAUGAGGAUUGCCUUUCAGAGGAAAACAUAGAUAAGUUAAAGGCCACUAUUAAAUCACAUCUUCAUUCUACCAAAGAAGUGAACCUAGACAAAAUCUCAUGGAAGGUAGCAGCGAUACCACUAUCAGACAAGUUGAUUUCAACCUUGAAAAGUUUUUGAUAACUUUUCAAUAAACACAAUGCAUUGGAAUAACUACUUAAAUCGCAACCAAGGAUUGUAAGGUAUCAAUAUUAUAUGCAAACUGUACAUUGGAAACUAGUAUAAUAACCAAGUCUAAGAAUUCUUGAAAUAGAUGGAUACAUGCAUAGAUACCUAUAAGCCCUAAUAAUCCUACAAUUAUAAUUAUAUAAAAUCAUAAAAUUUAUGUAGACAACUGAUAAAAUUUAAUCUCUUAACCUUCCUUCCUAAUUAAAUAGUAACUAAAAUAAUUCAGUGUUGUUGGUUCAGUACACACUAAUCAACCUAUCAAACAAUUUAAAAUUUAAAAGUAGAAAAAAAAAAAGAUGAUCAUCAAGUACUCUUCUGUGAUGGCAUUGGAAAAAUAGCUUGAAACCUAGUUUUAAAAUUGGAUACCUCCUAAACCCAGCAUUUAUGCACCAUCAAUUCUAAAUUUGCCGUAAGCCCGUAAGACCGACUGAUUUAGAUAUUCUUACUUUCUCUCUAGGAGAAAGAGAAUAGCUAAUUGAAAUGUGAAAGAAAUAGAAAAAAGUACUAGUAUAUAAUAGCUAAUUGAAAUGUGAAAGAAAUAGAAAAAAGUACUAGUAUAU
This 1280-nucleotide unclassified non-coding RNA is filed under the name Hevea brasiliensis (rubber tree). The record is from RNAcentral. Lineage: Eukaryota; Viridiplantae; Streptophyta; Magnoliopsida; Malpighiales; Euphorbiaceae.